UACGUAGGGGGCGAGCGUUGUCCGGAGUUACUGGGCGUAAAGCGCACGCAGGCGGUCUGUGAAGUUUGGAGUGACAGUUGGUGGCUCAACCACCAAAGUGCUUUGAAAACUGAUAGACUUGAGGGCUUCAGAGGGACACGGAAUUCCGGGUGGAGUGGUGAAAUGCGUAGAGAUCGGGAGGAACACCAGUGGCGAAGGCGGUUGCCUGGGGCUUUGCUGACGCUGAUGCGCGAAAGCGUGGGGAGCGAACCGG
Molecule: ribosomal RNA, 253 nt
Filed under: uncultured bacterium
Lineage: Bacteria
Description: partial 16S ribosomal RNA
Rfam family: Bacterial small subunit ribosomal RNA
Source: RNAcentral